RNAcentral lists this ribosomal RNA (275 nucleotides) under uncultured bacterium. RNAcentral's name for it is "partial 16S ribosomal RNA". It matches the Rfam family "Bacterial small subunit ribosomal RNA", at positions 524 to 794 of the family's 1533-position model. The record is from RNAcentral.
UACGGAGGGUGCAAGCGUUGUUCGGAAUUAUUGGGCGUAAAGCGUGCGCAGGCGGUUAUAUAAGACAGAUGUGAAAAUCCCCGGGCGUCAACCUGGGAACGUGCAUUAGUGACUGUAUAGCUAGAGUGCGGCAGAGGGGGAGUGAAUUCCGCGUGUAGCAGUGAAAUGCGUAGAUAUGCGGAGGAACACCGAUGGCGAAGGCAAUCCCCUCGGGCGUUCACUGACGCUCAUGCACGAAAGCGUGGGGAGCAAACAGGAUUAGAUACCCCUGUAGU